CUCGUAGGCGGUUCGUCGCGUCCGGUGUGAAAGUCCAUCGCCUAACGGUGGAUCUGCGCCGGGUACGGGCGGGCUGGAGUGCGGUAGGGGAGACUGGAAUUCCCGGUGUAACGGUGGAAUGUGUAGAUAUCGGGAAGAACACCGAUGGCGAAGGCAGGUCUCUGGGCCGUCACUGACGCUGAGGAGCGAAAGCGUGGGGAGCGAACA
RNAcentral lists this ribosomal RNA (207 nucleotides) under uncultured bacterium. RNAcentral describes it as "partial 16S ribosomal RNA". It matches the Rfam family "Bacterial small subunit ribosomal RNA", at positions 568 to 774 of the family's 1533-position model. The record is from RNAcentral.